RNA transcript from Carassius auratus (goldfish), 1274 nucleotides. It is a transcript of the gene named pinin, with no coding region annotated. NCBI's taxonomy places the organism in Eukaryota, Metazoa, Chordata, Actinopteri, Cypriniformes, Cyprinidae. The transcript has 7 exons. The record is from RefSeq and is a predicted model, not a curated record.
AUGACGUAAACAAGAUGGCUGCGUAGUGGUGUUUAUAUUAUUGAUUCACACGCACUGAUCACAGAAAUGAAAAAGGGUCGUUUAUAUUCCACGCAGUUUAUUUUCAGCACGGAUUAUAUUCAUAUCGGGCUAUUCCUCUGAUUUUCUCGAUUUUUGUAGUGGUCGGAAGGACCACAUUUCGAAGACAAUUUAAUAUGGUAAAGAACUGCUUAACGUUACAUUAAAACCAUCGCUCUCGUCAACCCUUCAGAUGAAGCUUCGGCCAAAGUGGACUCUGUGGAGAGUGAGUCGAGUUCAAAAAGCAGAAGUAGUUCUCACAGUAGAGGAAGAGAAAACCGGAAACGAGCAAGAAGCCGAAGCCGAUCCUCCUCAUCAUCUUCCAGUUCUUCCUCCUCCUCCUCCUCAUCCUCUUCUUCACAUUCUUCAUCCAGCAGUUCAUCAUCACAUAGUAACUCCAGCUCCAGUAGCUCAGAUUCUUGCAAAAAACAAAGCAAAUCUUCGAAGAAAAGGAAAGAUAAUCAUGGCAAAAAGAAAGGAAAAAAAGAGAAAACACGUAAGCGGAAGAAGGAAAAGGGACACAAAGAGCAGGACGACAGCUUUGGACCUGUUCAAAUUUCAAAGUAUCUUAAGGAAAAGAAGAAAACCGGCAAGUACAGUAUGAUUUCAGGGAAAAAGAUUAAAAUGAAAGUGAAAAAAUCAAAGAAGGACAAGCAGCGGGACAAAAACAGAGCAGAACUGCUGGAGUUCUUGAACUCCACUUUCUGAUUCAGUUCAUUAUUCACCUGGCCGCCACUCAGGGAAAGACCAUCUUCAACUAUUAAUGGGUUUGCCUGAUGUUAUACAUUGACAGUUCCUUACCAUAAACUAUGUAGAUGGUUGUCCCCCUUUUUUUAUUAUUAUUAUUCCAGACUGUGUCCUGAAAUACUUAUUGUAUGUCUGAUUGACUGUAUCCUAUAAGAACUGUAGCUUGAAUGUAACAUUGUCAUAGAACAUUGUUACUGAAAUUGUCAAAAAAACGUGUACAGUUUGUCAUCGGGGACAUGAAGGUUGUUUAUCUAACAAACUAUUCAAAUUUGAAACAACAGUGUAGUCAUGUUGUUCCAGUGGCGUGUUUCUUGUUAUCCCAUGAUAAUCUGUGUAUUUAUUGUGCUGAGCCAAAUGCAGAAGCACCUCUAGCGGGUAGCUGAACGCUUACGAUCUUCCUUUGUGACACACGUGCGUCUGACCGUACUUAUGACAAUACUGUUAAAUAAAUUUCCAGUUUGUGUCCUUUA